CAAGUCAGACAUGUGGAGUUUCAGCAUUGUUCUGCACGCAACAUCAGUCGAAACCCCAAAAGAGUAAAUAAAGCUCCAUAAUAAUAAUACUACUACUGUACGAGUACAGUGGCAGGGAGGUAGUGACUGAAUGACUGUCUCCUUGAGAAACCACCAAAAAAAAGAACCUCACUAAAAAUAACUAUUCUGUCAUCAUUGACUCAAUUUCUGUUGUUCCAAAACAUUUCAUUUGUUAAACCUGCUUUAUUGUAAAUCCUUUGAUGCAGUUGUGUAUCCAGAAUAUAGGAAGUUAUGUCCACAGUCCGUCCAUGGCUAUCCAUCUUCUUAAUCUUCUCAAGGAUAACUGGAGGUUACCGGCUCCAUCUCAGUGUCCACCAAAGGUGCACAGUAUUAUGAUGCAGUGUUGGGAGUUCAACAGUGAGGAUAGACCAAGCUUCUCCUCUCUACAGGACCUGAUUGAGAAUAGUCUGGUUAGAUGAGAGAGAGGGCUGUAAGGGGUAAAAUCAGAGUUACCCUUAACAGAUCACUGUAUUUUCAACAUAUGUAUAUUUGAUAUAUAUUUGAGUAUUUUAGGACAUAUUACAGUAGCUUUUUCAGUGUUUUGCUUCUUUCAAAAACAUAACCGUAGUUGCAGUAGAUCAGCUUGUAUAUUUGCCCAUUCAUUUACAGAGCUAGCACUACCUGUUUAACCAUAUUCCUUGAUAAAAAUCAUAAAUCAUUUUUACUCUGUUCUCAGCUGGGUAUUUUGGGUUUGUGAAGUCAGGCAAGAUCAUGAAAAUGGGCCUAUUGGUUGCUUUCUUUGCACUGUAACUUGGUAGUUGACAAAUAAACAUGAACCAUUUUUCA
Long non-coding RNA from Cyprinus carpio (common carp), 846 nucleotides. RefSeq lists it as uncharacterized. NCBI's taxonomy places the organism in Eukaryota, Metazoa, Chordata, Actinopteri, Cypriniformes, Cyprinidae. The transcript has 2 exons. The record is from RefSeq and is a predicted model, not a curated record.